This is a non-coding RNA of Dipodomys ordii (Ord's kangaroo rat), 67 nucleotides long. The record is from Rfam. NCBI's taxonomy places the organism in Eukaryota, Metazoa, Chordata, Mammalia, Rodentia, Heteromyidae.
GGUGGCUCAGUGGUAGAGCAUGCAUGCCUUGCAUGCAUGAGGCCCUGGGUUCAAUUCCUCAGCACCA